GAUGAACGCUGGCGGCGUGCCUAAUACAUGCAAGUCGAGCGAACGGACGAGAAGCUUGCUUCUCUGAUGUUAGCGGCGGACGGGUGAGUAACACGUGGAUAACCUACCUAUAAGACUGGGAUAACUUCGGGAAACCGUAGCUAAUACCGGAUAAUAUUUUGAACCGCAUGGUUCAAAAGUGAAAGACGGUCUUGCUGUCACUUAUAGAUGGAUCCGCGCUGCAUUAGCUAGUUGGUAAGGUAACGGCUUACCAAGGCAACGAUGCAUAGCCGACCUGAGAGGGUGAUCGGCCCCACUGGACCUGAGACCCGGUCCGGACUCCUACGGGAGGCAGCAGUAGGGAAUCUUCCGCAAUGGGCGAAAGCCUGACGGAGCAACGCCGCGUGAGUGAUGAAGGUCUUCGGUUCGUAAAACUCUGUUAUUAGGGAAGAACAUAUGUGUAAGUAACUGUGCACAUCUUGACGGUACCUAAUCAGAAAGCCCCGGCUACCUACGU
This 496-nucleotide ribosomal RNA is filed under the name uncultured bacterium. RNAcentral's name for it is "partial 16S ribosomal RNA". It matches the Rfam family "Bacterial small subunit ribosomal RNA", at positions 28 to 506 of the family's 1533-position model. The record is from RNAcentral.